GACGAACGCUGGCGGCGUGCUUAACACAUGCAAGUCGAACGGAAAGGCCCUGCUUUUGUGGGGUGCUCGAGUGGCGAACGGGUGAGUAACACGUGAGUAACCUGCCCUUAACUUUGGGAUAACUUCAGGAAACUGGGGCUAAUACCGGAUAGGAGCUCCUGCUGCAUGGUGGGGGUUGGAAAGUUUCGGCGGUUGGGGAUGGACUCGCGGCUUAUCAGCUUGUUGGUGGGGUAGUGGCUUACCAAGGCUUUGACGGGUAGCCGGCCUGAGAGGGUGACCGGCCACAUUGGGACUGAGAUACGGCCCAGCCUCCUACGGGAGGCAGCAGUGGGGAAUAUUGCACAAUGGGCGGAAGCCUGAUGCAGCAACGCCGCGUGCGGGAUGACGGCCUUCGGGUUGUAAACCGCUUUCGCCUGUGACGAAGCGUGAGUGACGGUAAUGGGUAAAGAAGCACCGGCUAACUACGUG
Molecule: ribosomal RNA, 468 nt
Filed under: uncultured bacterium
Lineage: Bacteria
Description: partial 16S ribosomal RNA
Rfam family: Bacterial small subunit ribosomal RNA
Source: RNAcentral